UGUCAACCACAUCGCCUCGGCAAAUUUUCAACGAUAUCGAAGGGAUCUGAUAAUUCUAAUGCCGAUUGGUACAUCUCAUUUCAAACUGAUGAACUGUACACUGUAAAAUGUGCUCCAAAACUACAUAUCUUAGAAUAGACUGAGUAUUACAAAUUCAAAAGUAAAAAUCUUGUAAAAGAUACAAGUAACCUUUCGAUUUUGUCA
This 204-nucleotide long non-coding RNA is filed under the name Mytilus galloprovincialis (Mediterranean mussel). The record is from RNAcentral. Lineage: Eukaryota; Metazoa; Mollusca; Bivalvia; Mytilida; Mytilidae.